GGUUGAUCCUGCCAGUAGUCAUAUGCUUGUCCCAAAGAUUAAGCCAUGCAUGUCUAAGUAUAAACCUUUAUACGGUGAAACUGCGAAUGGCUCAUUAUAUCAGUUAUAAUUUAUUUGAUGGUCUCUUUACUACUUGGAUAACCGUGGUAAUUCUAGAGCUAAUACAUGCAUAACGCCCGACUUCUGGAAGGGCUGUAUUUAUUAGAUAAGAAACCAAUGCUUUUGGUGAUUCAUAAUAACUUUGCGGAUCGUAUGGCCUUGCGCCGACGACGCUUCAUUCAAAUUUCUGCC
Molecule: ribosomal RNA, 291 nt
Filed under: uncultured eukaryote
Lineage: Eukaryota
Description: partial 18S ribosomal RNA
Rfam family: Eukaryotic small subunit ribosomal RNA
Source: RNAcentral